This 497-nucleotide ribosomal RNA is filed under the name uncultured bacterium. Its description in RNAcentral is "partial 16S ribosomal RNA". It matches the Rfam family "Bacterial small subunit ribosomal RNA", at positions 28 to 507 of the family's 1533-position model. The record is from RNAcentral.
GAUGAACGCUGGCGGCGUGCCUAAUACAUGCAAGUCGAGCGAACAGACGAGGAGCUUGCUCCUCUGACGUUAGCGGCGGACGGGUGAGUAACACGUGGAUAACCUACCUAUAAGACUGGGAUAACUUCGGGAAACCGGAGCUAAUACCGGAUAAUAUAUUGAACCGCAUGGUUCAAUAGUGAAAGACGGUUUUGCUGUCACUUAUAGAUGGAUCCGCGCCGCAUUAGCUAGUUGGUAAGGUAACGGCUUACCAAGGCAACGAUGCGUAGCCGACCGGAGGGGGGGGUCGGCCACACUGGAACUGAGACGCGGUCCAGACUCCUACGGGAGGCAGCAGUAGGGAAUCUUCCGCAAUGGGCGAAAGCCUGACGGAGCAACGCCGCGUGAGUGAUGAAGGUCUUCGGAUCGUAAAACUCUGUUAUUAGGGAAGAACAAAUGUGUAAGUAACUAUGCACGUCUUGACGGUACCUAAUCAGAAAGCCACGGCUAACUACGUG